Molecule: unclassified non-coding RNA, 417 nt
Filed under: Hevea brasiliensis (rubber tree)
Lineage: Eukaryota; Viridiplantae; Streptophyta; Magnoliopsida; Malpighiales; Euphorbiaceae
Source: RNAcentral
UUUUUUUUUUUUUUUUUUUGUGCAAUAACUGCUAAUCUGGUAAGCUUACCAACAGGUUUGACAAAUUCCUAGUAAGAAAGUUCUUAAUUUUAAUAAUGGUAGUCUUCUUUUGAUUCAUGGUGUAUAUCUGGCUAAGUUGGCACAGUCCUAUGUUCUAGAGCUAUCUUCCACAGAGGCCAAACAAAGGAAAAACAAGAGGAGAGAGAGUUGGAAGGUGGGGGGGGGGGUGGCGGAGAUAUCCUCUGGUACAAAUAUAGUACAAUUAAAUGGUAAAGAAGAGAAAAAAGUUGGCAUUUGGAGAAGUGAUCUGAUUAAAAAAGGUCCCAAAAGCAGAGUCUGAACGGAUGUCAGAAAAAUACUCAACAUGUAAGAAACAAGUUCACUUAUACAUACAGGCUGUGAAAAUUGAUGACCACU